GAUGAAGAACGUAGCGAAAUGCGAUAAGUAAUGUGAAUUGCAGAAUUCAGUGAAUCGUCGAAUCUUUGAACGCACAUUGCGCCCAUUAGUAUUCUAGUGGGCAUGCCUGUUCGAGCGUCAUUAAUUCCACUUAAGCCCUGCUUAGUGUUGGGAAUCUACUCUAGUGGUGCUACCCUGGAGCUACCCCUGAAAGGGGGCUGGCCCGGUAGCUACCCUGUAGUUCCUCAAAGAUAGUGCGCGGAGUUGCGUGGUCCUCUGAGCUUAGUAACUAUACACCUAGCUUUUGAGUGUCCCGCGGCGCCUGCCGUUUAAACCCCAUCUUUUAAUGGUUGACCUCGGAUCAGGUAGGAAUACCCGCUGAACUUAAGCAUAUCAAUAAGCGGAGGA
This 387-nucleotide unclassified non-coding RNA is filed under the name soil metagenome. Its description in RNAcentral is "partial contains 5.8S ribosomal RNA, internal transcribed spacer 2, and large subunit ribosomal RNA". The stretch from base 1 to 120 matches the Rfam family "5.8S ribosomal RNA", at positions 35 to 154 of the family's 154-position model. The record is from RNAcentral.